Molecule: ribosomal RNA, 1869 nt
Filed under: Staphylococcus aureus
Lineage: Bacteria; Bacillati; Bacillota; Bacilli; Caryophanales; Staphylococcaceae
Description: partial 23S ribosomal RNA
Rfam family: Bacterial large subunit ribosomal RNA
Source: RNAcentral
ACGACAUUAGACGAAUCAUCUGGAAAGAUGAAUCAAAGAAGGUAAUAAUCCUGUAGUCGAAAAUGUUGUCUCUCUUGAGUGGAUCCUGAGUACGACGGAGCACGUGAAAUUCCGUCGGAAUCUGGGAGGACCAUCUCCUAAGGCUAAAUACUCUCUAGUGACCGAUAGUGAACCAGUACCGUGAGGGAAAGGUGAAAAGCACCCCGGAAGGGGAGUGAAAUAGAACCUGAAACCGUGUGCUUACAAGUAGUCAGAGCCCGUUAAUGGGUGAUGGCGUGCCUUUUGUAGAAUGAACCGGCGAGUUACGAUUUGAUGCAAGGUUAAGCAGUAAAUGUGGAGCCGUAGCGAAAGCGAGUCUGAAUAGGGCGUUUAGUAUUUGGUCGUAGACCCGAAACCAGGUGAUCUACCCUUGGUCAGGUUGAAGUUCAGGUAACACUGAAUGGAGGACCGAACCGACUUACGUUGAAAAGUGAGCGGAUGAACUGAGGGUAGCGGAGAAAUUCCAAUCGAACCUGGAGAUAGCUGGUUCUCUCCGAAAUAGCUUUAGGGCUAGCCUCAAGUGAUGAUUAUUGGAGGUAGAGCACUGUUUGGACGAGGGGCCCCUCUCGGGUUACCGAAUUCAGACAAACUCCGAAUGCCAAUUAAUUUAACUUGGGAGUCAGAACAUGGGUGAUAAGGUCCGUGUUCGAAAGGGAAACAGCCCAGACCACCAGCUAAGGUCCCAAAAUAUAUGUUAAGUGGAAAAGGAUGUGGCGUUGCCCAGACAACUAGGAUGUUGGCUUAGAAGCAGCCAUCAUUUAAAGAGUGCGUAAUAGCUCACUAGUCGAGUGACACUGCGCCGAAAAUGUACCGGGGCUAAACAUAUUACCGAAGCUGUGGAUUGUCCUUUGGACAAUGGUAGGAGAGCGUUCUAAGGGCGUUGAAGCAUGAUCGUAAGGACAUGUGGAGCGCUUAGAAGUGAGAAUGCCGGUGUGAGUAGCGAAAGACGGGUGAGAAUCCCGUCCACCGAUUGACUAAGGUUUCCAGAGGAAGGCUCGUCCGCUCUGGGUUAGUCGGGUCCUAAGCUGAGGCCGACAGGCGUAGGCGAUGGAUAACAGGUUGAUAUUCCUGUACCACCUAUAAUCGUUUUAAUCGAUGGGGGGACGCAGUAGGAUAGGCGAAGCGUGCGAUUGGAUUGCACGUCUAAGCAGUAAGGCUGAGUAUUAGGCAAAUCCGGUACUCGUUAAGGCUGAGCUGUGAUGGGGAGAAGACAUUGUGUCUUCGAGUCGUUGAUUUCACACUGCCGAGAAAAGCCUCUAGAUAGAAAAUAGGUGCCCGUACCGCAAACCGACACAGGUAGUCAAGAUGAGAAUUCUAAGGUGAGCGAGCGAACUCUCGUUAAGGAACUCGGCAAAAUGACCCCGUAACUUCGGGAGAAGGGGUGCUCUUUAGGGUUAACGCCCAGAAGAGCCGCAGUGAAUAGGCCCAAGCGACUGUUUAUCAAAAACACAGGUCUCUGCUAAACCGUAAGGUGAUGUAUAGGGGCUGACGCCUGCCCGGUGCUGGAAGGUUAAGAGGAGUGGUUAGCUUCUGCGAAGCUACGAAUCGAAGCCCCAGUAAACGGCGGCCGUAACUAUAACGGUCCUAAGGUAGCGAAAUUCCUUGUCGGGUAAGUUCCGACCCGCACGAAAGGCGUAACGAUUUGGGCACUGUCUCAACGAGAGACUCGGUGAAAUCAUAGUACCUGUGAAGAUGCAGGUUACCCGCGACAGGACGGAAAGACCCCGUGGAGCUUUACUGUAGCCUGAUAUUGAAAUUCGGCACAGCUUGUACAGGAUAGGUAGGAGCCUUUGAAACGUGAGCGCUAGCUUACGUGGAGGCGCUGGUGGG